GCCCCUGUAGCUCAGCGGUUAUUAUAGCUAAAGAGCGCUCGCUUCGUAAGCGAGAUGUCGCGGGUUCAAAAGCCUUGAAUCGCUGGCAAAAAAAUCGAUUCAAGAUUUGCCAGCAAGGCUGUCAAUCCCUCCAGGGGCU
RNAcentral lists this transfer RNA (139 nucleotides) under Microcaldota archaeon. Its description in RNAcentral is "tRNA-Thr". Lineage: Archaea; Nanobdellati; Microcaldota. The record is from RNAcentral.